GAGUCAUUGGGACUAAUUAAACCUAAAGGCGCAAUGAAAGUAAAGGUCCGCCUCGCGCGGACCUAGGGAGGAUGGGCCCGUCCUAGCGCGGGCCCCGCACUCCCGGGGCGUCUCGUUCUCAUCGCGAGAUGAGGCGCACCCAGAGCGUACACGCUGGGACCCGAAAGAUGGUGAACUAUGCCUGGUCAGGACGAAGUCAGGGGAAACCCUGAUGGAGGUCCGUAGCGAUUCUGACGUGCAAAUCGAUCGUCGGAACUGGGUAUAGG
Molecule: ribosomal RNA, 266 nt
Filed under: Nanos ater
Lineage: Eukaryota; Metazoa; Arthropoda; Insecta; Coleoptera; Scarabaeidae
Description: partial 28S ribosomal RNA
Rfam family: Eukaryotic large subunit ribosomal RNA
Source: RNAcentral